GAAGGCCCAUCUUAGAGUUCACACAAGGGAGAAGCCGCAUUCAUGUUCUGAGUGUGGACAGAGUUUUACGCUGAUGUACGAUUUAACCGAACAUCAGAAAUCACACACUGCUGAGGUUUCAUUAGAGCAGGACAUCGAAGCAGAUGAUCACUGCUGACAUCAAAUUCGUUGAGUGUGAUCUGAUGGUGGAGAAUUGAGAAUGGAACCAACAUAGGGAAAACUGGAAAACAAACUGAACUUAUUUUUACAGAAAAAGAGCCUGGAGAUAUUUCACCUGCAGUCACUGUGGAAAGAGUUUGGCGAUCUUUAAGACUCACGUGGAGAUCAGCACACAAAUAACACCAUUGUGUUUCAUAACUCAACUUCUGUACUGGACUAUUGGAGUACUCUAUUGGUCUUUCAAUCCAACACCAUGAUGCCCCUGCAGCUGAUCCUGAAUCAGCAGUGAGAGCGGUUGAAAUGAACUGAAAAGAGUGCAUGUCUUACGCCUCAAUUUACGCUGGCUGCCAAUCGCCGAAUUCAAAACCCUUUAAACUUCCAAGGAGAGUUACAAAGGCUUAUUACAAGUCUUUUGAAAAUAUCUAUGCAUAUAUUCUAAUCUAUGUCAGUGAUGUUACGAUAUAUAUAUAUAUAUAGGGUUCCUCAAUUGAUAAAAGGUUGUUGUUUAGUAGUCCAACUAUUGAUACUAGCUAGCAUAUUUUAUCUUAUUUGUAGUGUGGCAGAAUGAAACUGCAGGUCGUCAACGCUUCACCUUCACUUUGUGUCCGUCAGCACCGCUUAAGUGGCAUUGCUCACUGUAGAAAUUGGGAGUUCAUCAACUUCAAGUGCCACUGAAAGCGUCAGCAAUCAGAUUGCUUUAUGCAACUACCCCAGCUCAGGCAGUAGCCGAUUGCGGACUAAUUUCAUUGGCGAUCACGUCAGCCCCAACCUCAGACACAUCCUCUGUCAAGCGCUGAUGCUUAAGCCCCAUGUGAAUCAGGCAUUAGAGCAGGUAUGAUAUGUAGUAGUGGAUUAUUAUUGUAUUUAUUUUUUGCUGCCUUGUUGAAGAUGCACCGAUCGACCAGUCGAUGACCAGAAUCGGACCUUUUUUACUUUAUUAUUAUUAUUAUUAUUAUUAUUAUUAGCCUUUGCAUGACUGUUAACCGGCCGGUCAUCUGUUUGAUUAGCUUUUUACAAUCAAUCACUCGGGUUAAUUGAAGCUGUUCCAGGUUACGAAUGAUCAUUUUGACGAGUUACUCGUUAAUCAACGGCAAACGUUUUGACCGAUUCAGAUUGAAAAUUCAAAUGCAGUUUUGGUUUUUCCGUUCAAUCUGUGUUUAAUACAUUAGCUACACGAGUAACUAUUCUGCUAGACACUCAAAACUGCUUUCAGAGAAAGGAAAGUGCUUUACCAGAGCAAGAUACAAGAUCAAAGAUAUCAGAAAUUAUUCAUCGUCGAAAAAUAAUACAAAACAAAGCAUUCGAAUAUUAAUCAAAACAUUUCAUUAGCGUUUGCUUGUAAUCUUUGGACUUUUGUGAAAUAAGAAAGUGACUGUACAAUUACAGAUUUUGUUAUUAUAGCAGUUUGGGGAAAUCUAAUGUUUGUAUGGAUUUCGUAUGAAGCAGAAACUGUUGAAUGUGGCGUAAUAAUAACUCCGAUGUUAAGUAUUGAAAACACAAGCUCAUCCAGCUAACCAACAUGAACCUGUUAGAUCUGUUUGAAGACCACUCUUAUGACUCCACGUUAAGCUGUGGUAUCGUUAAACCAUGCCUUUGUUUGUUUGUUUUGAAAGUGCGCCCUCUAUCUUUUGCUCUUGCUAUUUCUUUUAUUUUUAUUGACUAUAAUUUAGUCAAAGUAUGUUGUAAUAUUGCAAAAUAUUACUCGAACAUUACUAAAAGUUGAUAAGCAAUAAUGCCUUACUACAGCAUUACAGCAAGCAGUCAUUUGUUACCGACGUACAUGUUUAGUUUUGCUUUUGGAGCGCAUUACAUUACAACUCUGUUCGUCAACACUUGAUCCCUCCAACCCUCCUUAUUCAUCUCUUUAUUUUCAUCUUUGCUUCAAAAUAUUGUCAAACGAGCAGGUAUAAUUUGUGGUAGUAGCUCACGCAGUCUGCUCUGUGAAAUAAGGAAGUGACUGUAAAAUUACAGAUUUUGUUAGUAGAGUAGUUUGGGGAAAUCGAAUGUUAUAUGGAUUUCGUAUGAAGCAGAAACUGUCUAACGUGGCGUAAUAAUAACUCAGAUGCUAUUAAAUAUUGAAAACACAAGCUCCUCCAGCCAACCAACAUAAACCUGUUAGCUCUGUUUGAUUUCACAUUAAGCUGUGGUAUCGUUAAACCAUGCCUUUGUUUGUUUUGAAAGUGCGCCCUCUAUCUUUUGCUAUUUCGUUUUUUCAUUUGAUUACUUUUUCGAAAGUGUGUUGUUAUGCGUUACUGAGACUGUGCCAAGUCGAAUAUUGCUAAAAGUUGAGCAGUAAUGCCUUACUACAGAAUUACAGCAGUCAAUUGUUGCCAACGUGCAUGUUUAGUUUCACUUUUGGAGCGCAUUACAACUACAUUCGUCAACAUUUUUCUUCCCUCCAACCCUCCUUAUUUAUCCAUCCUUAUUUUCAUCUUUGCAUUUGCUUGUUUAAAAAGAGGUGCACAGUACUAAACAAACCCAGAUCUGUCUCUGCAUCCACAUACUGUUGCUGUUCUGCUGUUUUGAAGUGCUGUUAUCCUCUUUGUGAGAUGCUUUUGGACGACAGCAUGUGCUGGAUGAAUAAAAUGUAAGCUAUAUUUGCUUUUACUGUUUAAUCUGAUAGACUUGUUUGCUUAUUAUACUCCCAUGGUAGAACUUUCAAGUAUCUUAUUGUAUUCUCAAUUAUCAUAUUGUAUUAUUUUUCUGUCUUUUAUCAGUAAAGUUUUCUGAG
This is a non-coding RNA of Danio rerio (zebrafish), 2890 nucleotides long. The record is from Ensembl. NCBI's taxonomy places the organism in Eukaryota, Metazoa, Chordata, Actinopteri, Cypriniformes, Danionidae.